Gymnodraco acuticeps is the source of this 634-nucleotide long non-coding RNA. RefSeq lists it as uncharacterized. NCBI's taxonomy places the organism in Eukaryota, Metazoa, Chordata, Actinopteri, Perciformes, Bathydraconidae. The transcript is spliced from 4 exons. The record is from RefSeq and is a predicted model, not a curated record.
UCUGCUUACUGCGCAUGCUCCGGAUAGCGAAUCGGCUCAUUGACUAUAGCUCAAUAGUUUACUACUAUAUUAGAUCAAUUUCUGAAACGCUAUUUUACAUCAAGCAUGGGAUGAAGGAGAGGCUGUAAAAUACCCGGAUUGUACCGAUGCAAUUAGCUGUUUUUAGUUUUUAAAAUCAAAAGUGAAGUUCCUAAAAACACGGACACCGGAGGACUCCCUAAUGAUGAUUCAAGUCAUUUUGUUUGGAUACUUCCUGACGUGCGUUUCUGGUGACGGGGUUGCGGAUGUGGUUCUCUCUUGCACCCUGGUGGAGGAGGGGGUGGGGGUGGAUGGGAUGGGAGGCGGGUCUCAGUUCAGACGGACUCCAGCCACUCUCAUCCUAAGAGACGUCCCAGUGGCUCCUGACCAAUCCCUGGAGACGCUCACUCCGUUUGUCCCGCCUUCAUUCCCUGACCCAGAUGCCAUCCUGUUAGAAGCCAAAGAUACCAAACCAAAGAAAGAUCAAACAGCACCUUUAAGAGCCUUUUUCAAUUUCUUCUCUUCUCCCUCCUCAGAGCUAUAUUCCCUACAUUUCUUCCUGUUUUCUCCCCAUUUUUACCAUCUUCAUCUCUGUCUCUUUACCACUUUCUCUUUA